UACGAAGGGGGCUAGCGUUGUUCGGACUUACUGGGCGUAAAGCGCGCGCAGGCGGUCUUCCAAGUCAGUGGUGAAAGCCCGGAGCUCAACUCCGGAACUGCCAUUGAAACUGUGAGACUUGAGUAUGAGAGAGGUGAGUGGAAUUCCCAGUGUAGAGGUGAAAUGCGUAGAUAUUGGGAAGAACACCGGUGGCGAAGGCGGCUCACUGGCCAGUUUCUGACGCUGCAGCGCGAAAGCGUGGGGAUCAAACAGG
RNAcentral lists this ribosomal RNA (253 nucleotides) under uncultured bacterium. RNAcentral describes it as "partial 16S ribosomal RNA". It matches the Rfam family "Bacterial small subunit ribosomal RNA", at positions 524 to 776 of the family's 1533-position model. The record is from RNAcentral.